This 253-nucleotide ribosomal RNA is filed under the name uncultured bacterium. Its description in RNAcentral is "partial 16S ribosomal RNA". It matches the Rfam family "Bacterial small subunit ribosomal RNA", at positions 524 to 776 of the family's 1533-position model. The record is from RNAcentral.
UACGAAGGGGGCUAGCGUUGCUCGGAAUCACUGGGCGUAAAGGGCGCGUAGGCGGCGUUUUAAGUCGGGGGUGAAAGCCUGUGGCUCGACCACAGAAUGGCCUUCGAUACUGGGACGCUUGAGUAUGGUAGAGGUUGGUGGAACUGCGAGUGUAGAGGUGAAAUUCGUAGAUAUUCGCAAGAACACCGGUGGCGAAGGCGGCCAACUGGACCAUCACUGACGCUGAGGCGCGAAAGCGUGGGGAGCAAACAGG